UACGAAGGGGGCUAGCGUUGCUCGGAAUCACUGGGCGUAAAGCGCACGUAGGCGGGCUGCUAAGUCAGGGGUGAAAUCCUGGAGCUCAACUCCAGAACUGCCCUUGAUACUGGCGGCCUUGAGUCCGGGAGAGGUGAGUGGAACUGCGAGUGUAGAGGUGAAAUUCGUAGAUAUUCGCAAGAACACCAGUGGCGAAGGCGGCUCACUGGCCCGGUACUGACGCUGAGGUGCGAAAGCGUGGGGAGCAAACAGG
RNAcentral lists this ribosomal RNA (253 nucleotides) under uncultured bacterium. RNAcentral's name for it is "partial 16S ribosomal RNA". It matches the Rfam family "Bacterial small subunit ribosomal RNA", at positions 524 to 776 of the family's 1533-position model. The record is from RNAcentral.